CCUACGGGAGGCAGCAGUGGGGAAUAUUGGACAAUGGGCGCAAGCCUGAUCCAGCAAUGCCGCGUGAGUGAUGAAGGCCUUAGGGUCGUAAAGCUCUUUUACCAGGGAUGAUAAUGACAGUACCUGGAGAAUAAGCUCCGGCUAACUCCGUGCCAGCAGCCGCGGUAAUACGGAGGGAGCUAGCGUUGUUCGGAAUUACUGGGCGUAAAGCGUACGUAGGCGGUUAUUCAAGUCAGAGGUGAAAGCCCGGGGCUCAACCCCGGAACGGCCUUUGAAACUAGGUAGCUAGAAUCUUGGAGAGGUCAGUGGAAUUCCGAGUGUAGAGGUGAAAUUCGUAGAUAUUCGGAAGAACACCAGUGGCGAAGGCGACUGACUGGACAAGUAUUGACGCUGAGGUACGAAAGCGUGGGGAGCAAACAGGAUUAGAUACCCUGGUAGUCCACGCCGUAAACGAUGAUAACUAGCUGUCCGGGCACUUGGUGCCUGGGUGGCGCNGCUACGCAUUAAGUUAUCCGUCCGUCGGGAGGUACGGUCGCGAGAAGUAAACGUAACGAAAGGAAAGUUAGACGGUCGUGAGACGUUGUCCGACGGACGACGACGAGGGAGGAGG
This 610-nucleotide ribosomal RNA is filed under the name uncultured bacterium. Its description in RNAcentral is "bacterial SSU rRNA". The stretch from base 1 to 517 matches the Rfam family "Bacterial small subunit ribosomal RNA", at positions 338 to 873 of the family's 1533-position model. The record is from RNAcentral.